Belonocnema kinseyi is the source of this 3144-nucleotide RNA transcript. It is a transcript of the gene named glutamate receptor ionotropic, kainate 2-like, with no coding region annotated. NCBI's taxonomy places the organism in Eukaryota, Metazoa, Arthropoda, Insecta, Hymenoptera, Cynipidae. The record is from RefSeq and is a predicted model, not a curated record. The transcript has 17 exons.
UUAGAGGGCUCAAGCUACUAAGUCUAAAAUCUAUUCUCUAUUCUCUAUUCUAUAAUUUAUAAUUCCAGUUUCUCUCUCUUCAAUUGGAUAAUUUACAAAUAAAUAUUUAUACAUAGGAUGAUUUUACGAUGCUGUUCAAAUACUUACUGGUCGCAAUGCUCCCAUGCAUUUUGGGAUUCUCCAAAAUUCGUAUAGGUGGAUUGUUUGAUGGCGAUGAAAUGAUCGAACAUACUUUUGAACUCUCAGUAAAAAUGAUUAACAAAAACAGAAAUUCGGAUCGACACUUAUCCAGGAGGUUUCUGUACACAGAAACGCGUAAAAUUGAUGAAAAUGCAUUCGAUGUAGCUGAAAAAGCCUGUGAAAUUCUGGAUGUGGGGGUUGCAGCGAUUAUUGGUCCCCAAAAUAAAGCAAGUGCUUGUCACGUACAAAGUAUGUGUGACGCAAUGGAAAUCCCACACAUUUCUACUAUAAUGGAGCUUGAUCAAGAUCGAUUAAAAGGCAUAAAUAUGCAUCCAUACGUCAGAACGUACACCAUGGUCUUCUAUCAUCUUGUAAAGGACUAUAAAUGGAAAACUUACACAAUAAUAUAUGACAGUGAUAUCAGUUUAAUUCGUAUGACUCCACUUCUUACAUUUUAUACCACUACUGGCUAUACGGUAACGAUUCGUCGUAUGGAAGGUCCAGAUUACAGGGCUGUACUAAGAGAAGUCAAAAGAUCAAAAGAAGAAAAUAUUAUUAUAGAUUGUGAUAUUAAAAUUCUUCUUGAUGUACUCACGCAGGCUCAACAAGUCGGUUUAAUAUCCGACAGGUACAAAAUGAUUAUCUGUUCUUUGGACUUACACACUCUUGACCUAGAACCUUUUCAAUAUUCGGGGAUGAAUUUGACCGCAGUUCGAUUGAUAGACCCUGAAGAUUACAUGGUCCGCAGAAUAAUAGAAGAUUUCUUUGCACCCCUAGGGAUAACUGAAGCAAACCAGCUAACUUUAGAACAAGCUUUAAUGUUCGAUGGAGUUCAACUUUUUGCACGAGCUUUUAAGCAACUCAGUGAUUCUGUUAAGGGUGAAUUGAAACAGUUGCCCUGUGAUGGAUCUGAAAGCUGGGAACAUGGAAUAAGCCUGAGCAACUUCAUAAGAUCUACUGAAAUGCGAGGCCUAACAGGUUUGGUGAAAUUUGACACCUACGGAUUUCGUACGGACUUUCAGCUUGACAUUUUGAAUGUUGGUUGGAAUGGAAUAACAAAAAUUGGAACUUGGAACAGUACCACUAACAUUGACUGGAUACCGGAAAAUACUGUAACUGAUCCGAAUGCGGGGUUAACUCUCCGAAAUAUGACUUUUAGAGUACUCAUAUCACUGACAAAACCGUAUGCAAUGCUGAAAGAAUCAUCAAUAAAGAAAGUAGGCAAUGAUCGAUUUGAAGGCUUCGGAGUAGACGUUAUUAUUGAAUUAAGCAAAGCAUUGGGUUUUAAUUAUACUUUUGUACAACAUGAUCCAGUUUAUGGAAGUUACGACAAUAAAACCGGACAAUGGACUGGAAUGCUCAGGAAGAUAAUGGAUAAUGAUGCCGAGUUAGCAAUUACGGACUUGACAAUUACAGCUGAACGUGAGAGUGCAGUGGAUUUUACUAUGCCCUUUAUGAAUCUAGGAAUCAGUAUCUUAUUCACAAAACCAAAGAAAGCUCCACCAAAGUUGAUGUCCUUCUUGUCACCAUUUUCUAAUGAGGUUUGGAUUUACACAAUUGGCGCUUGGAUAUUUGUGUCACUCGAAUUUUUCAUUAUUGGAAGAAUGUGUCCGGAAGAGUGGAACAAUCCCUAUCCUUGUAUUGAAGAACCUGAAGAGCUCUAUAAUCAAUUCUCUCUUAAAAACGCUUAUUGGUUCACUAUUGGUGCUAUGAUGCAGCAAGGGUCUGAACUCGCACCUAUAGGUGUUUCAACGAGAAUGCUAGCCGGAAGUUGGUGGUUUUUCUGUCUUAUUAUGGCAAACUCCUAUACUGCCAAUCUCGCUGCAUUCUUGACUGCAGAACCUGUUGAAACAUUAUUCACAAACGUUAAAGAGCUCGCCAGUCAGGAUAAGAUAAAGUAUGGUGCAAAACGUGGUGGCUCGACACUCUCAUUUUUUGAACAUUCGACCAAUUCUAUGUAUCAAAAUAUGUACAAAUUCAUGAUGGACAAUGCUGCAGAAUGUUUGACUGAUUCAAAUGACGAAGGAAAGGAUAAAGUACUGAAAGGCGAUUAUGCAUAUUUUAUGGAAUCUUCCACAAUUGAAUAUUUAAGCGAAAGAGAAUGUGACCUUGAUCAAGUCAAUGGUCUUCUUGACCAAAAAGGCUACGGAAUCGCUAUGAGAAAAAACUCAACUUACCGUAAUGAUUUGAGUUCUGGUGUGCUUCAACUUCAAGAGAAUGGAAUACUUGCUAAUUUGAAAACUCAGUGGUGGAAACAAAAACGUGGAGGUGGAAGAUGUGAGCAAGAUUCUGGGACGAGCGCACCUAGUAAGCUAAAUCUGUCAAAUUUAGGAGGAGUAUACUUAGUCUUGGCAGUUGGUAUUGUCCUGUCCUUUUUCAUGACAUUGGUGGAAAUGUUAUGGGAAAUAGGAUGCAAUUCAUUUAAGUACAAUGUCUCAGUUAAAGAGGAACUGAUAGACGAAAUAAAAUUUAUAGUACAAUUCAGUGGUUCUAGCAAACCAGUUAAAAAAAGGAACGACUCAUCGCAUAAAAGUUCAAAAGAUUCUAAGGAUUCUACGCCUCCUUAUGGAUUUGUACCUUCUGUUGUAACCACUGGUCCAUGUGAAGAAACUAAAACUUAAUUAAAAUCUUAGAUAUAGUUUUUCUAAUGAAAUAAUUAUAUAAAAUCUAUAUUUAAAAUACAAAAGUAUAUUGAAAAGGAUUUAUUCGUUUAGUUACAUAGAUUACUAUGGAAAAAGCUAUUGCAGGAAAAUCCAGGUGGCCUGCAAUUUACAGCGACGCUCGGUUCGUGAACAAGCAAUCGCUUGACAUCGCUUGCCAUUGCCCGAUGUGCCAUGAGAACUGUGCAACGCCUUUGAAGCGAUUGUAUAGAUUUGCAAGAGUAAUAACACCUUUGAAAAACAGUUUUUUUUAUGUUACUUUUUUAUUUUUCAAUAACUAUUUUUUAAAAACUAUUUGAACUAU